RNAcentral lists this ribosomal RNA (600 nucleotides) under uncultured euryarchaeote. RNAcentral's name for it is "bacterial SSU rRNA". It matches the Rfam family "Archaeal small subunit ribosomal RNA", at positions 272 to 876 of the family's 1478-position model. The record is from RNAcentral. Lineage: Archaea; Methanobacteriati; Methanobacteriota.
GGCCUUGAGAGAGGAGCCAGAGUUGGAUUUUGAGACACGAAUCCAGCCCUACGGGGCGCAGCAUUCGCGAAAAUUUCACAAUGGGGCAACCCNGAUGAGGGAAUUCUUAGUGCUAGCAACAUUAGUGUUAGCUUUUCUUUAGCAUAGAUAACUAGAGGAAUAAGGGCUGGGUAAGACGGGUGCCAGCCGCCGCGGUAAUACCUGCAGCCCAAGUGGUGGUCGAUAUUAUUGAGUCUAAAACGUUCGUAGCCGGUUUAAUAAAUCCUUGGGUAAAUCGGGGGGCUUAACCUUCCGAAGUCCGAGGAGACUGUUAAACUUGGGACCGGGAGAGGCAAGAGGUACUUCUGGGGUAGGGGUAAAAUCCUGUAAUCCUAGAAGGACCACCGGUGGCGAAGGCGUCUUGCUAGAACGGAUCCGACGGUGAGGGACGAAGCCCUGGGGCGCAAACGGGAUUAGAUACCCCGGUAGUCCAGGGUGUAAACGCUGCAGACUUGGUGUUGGAGGCCCUUCGGGGGCAUUCAGUGCCGGAGAGAAGUUGUUAAGUCUGCUACUUGGGGAGUACGUCCGCAAGGAUGAAACUUAAAGGAAUUGGCGGGGGAG